GAUGAACGCUGGCGGCGUGCCUAAUACAUGCAAGUCGAGCGAACGGACGAGAAGCUUGCUUCUCUGAUGUUAGCGGCGGACGGGUGAGUAACACGUGGAUAACCUACCUAUAAGACUGGGAUAACUUCGGGAAACCGGAGCUAAUACCGGAUAAUAUUUUGAACCGCAUGGUUCAAAAGUGAAAGGCGGUCUUGCUGUCACUUAUAGAUGGAUCCGCGCUGCAUUAGCUAGUUGGUAAGGUAACGGCUUACCAAGGCAACGAUGCAUAGCCGACCUGAGAGGGGGAUCGGCCACACUGGAACUGAGACACGGUCCAGACUCCUACGGGAGGCAGCAGUAGGGAAUCUUCCGCAAUGGGCGAAAGCCUGACGGAGCAACGCCGCGUGAGUGAUGAAGGUCUUCGGAUCGUAAAACUCUGUUAUUAGGGAAGAACAUAUGUGUAAGUAACUGUGCACAUCUUGACGGUACCUAAUCAGAAAGCCACGGCUAACUACGUG
RNAcentral lists this ribosomal RNA (497 nucleotides) under uncultured bacterium. RNAcentral's name for it is "partial 16S ribosomal RNA". It matches the Rfam family "Bacterial small subunit ribosomal RNA", at positions 28 to 507 of the family's 1533-position model. The record is from RNAcentral.